CCAGUCCUCUCUCUCUAUCGGCUAGUUGGGCGCCAUCUUUGCUCUUUUCCAUGUCUUUUGGUUGAGUUUCGUGGUAUUUUUGUCAGUGAUGUGGUUGACAAGAAUAUUGUGUAAACGACACACACCUGGAAGGAUAUGGGGAGGGAAGUACAGGCUUGUACAGAAAAUGACUGCCACUAGAAGAAGAACUGAAG
Orbicella faveolata is the source of this 194-nucleotide long non-coding RNA. The record is from RefSeq and is a predicted model, not a curated record. NCBI's taxonomy places the organism in Eukaryota, Metazoa, Cnidaria, Anthozoa, Scleractinia, Merulinidae.